AGAGUUUGAUCAUGGCUCAGAAUGGACGUUGGCGGCGUGGAUUAGGCAUGCGAGUCGCGCGAUAAUGUAGCAAUACAGGACAGCGGCGAAAGGGAGAGGACAACAUAGGAAUCUGCCCUGGGGUCGGGGAUAGCGUCGGGAAACUGACGGUAAUACCCGAUAAUAUCCAAGGAUCAAAGGAGCAAUUUGCCCCGGGAUGAGCCUAUGCCCCAUUAGCUAGUUGGCGGUGUAAUGGACCACCAAGGCUGUGAUGGGUAGCUGGUGUGAGAGCACGACCAGCCUCACUGGCACUGAGACACUGGCCAGACACCUACGGGUGGCUGCAGUCGAGAAUCUUCGGCAAUGGACGAAAGUCUGACCGAGCGACGCCGCGUGUGGGAUGAAGGUCUUCGGAUUGUAAACCACUGUCGAGGGGGAUUAAGGGAAACUUGAAAGAACCCUGGAGGAAGGGGAGGCUAAGCUCGUGCCAGCAGCCGCGGUAAGACGAGCUCCCCAAACGUUAUUCGGUAUUACUGGGCUUAAAGAGUUCGUAGGCGGCGAAGUAGGUGAGGUGUGAAAGCCCUCGGCUCAACCGAGGAACUGCGCUUCAAACCACUUUGCUAGAGGGAGAUAGGGGUAAGCGGAACAGAUGGUGGAACGGUGAAAUGUAUUGAUAUCAUCUGGAACGCCGGUGGCGAAAGCGGCUUACUGGGUCUUUUCUGACGCUGAGGAACGAAAGCUAGGGUAGCGAACGGGAUUAGAUACCCCGGUAGUCCUAGCCGUAAACGAUGAGCACUAGUCUGAGGGACUUUCACGGUUUCUCGGACGUAGCGAAAGUGUUAAGUGCUCCGCCUGGGGAGUAUGGUCGCA
RNAcentral lists this ribosomal RNA (849 nucleotides) under uncultured bacterium. RNAcentral describes it as "bacterial SSU rRNA". It matches the Rfam family "Bacterial small subunit ribosomal RNA", at positions 8 to 890 of the family's 1533-position model. The record is from RNAcentral.